Molecule: long non-coding RNA, 1068 nt
Filed under: Numida meleagris (helmeted guineafowl)
Lineage: Eukaryota; Metazoa; Chordata; Aves; Galliformes; Numididae
Description: lncRNA (ENSNMEG00000010412.1)
Source: RNAcentral
AAAAUAUUUUAAAAUGUUAAAGUUGAACAACUAGCUAUUCCUAUGGUUCCAGCAGGGAUGUCUCUUUCUUUUUUGAAGAAAUGUGCAUUUUCUGGGCAUUGUAUCCUUCUGGAUUGGGUGCUCAGGUUCACUGCAUGCUAGAAAGUCCCUUGUCAACACUGACUCCAUGGCUUUUGCAGGCUUCUGCUCCAUUCCUGCAAAACUGUUCACUGUCAGUGGCGCAAAAUCUACAGGUUGUGUGAGAUGGCUGAAGUGUGGCACAUUUGCACAGCUUUGGUUGAAAGCAGAGCUCAAUGUCCCUGUCUUCAUGCUUCCCAAGUGGAGAUAAGGAUACUUCCCUACCAUACAGCACUGUUGUGAAGAUCAACUGGCUAAUGACUGUAUGGCACUUUCAAGUACUAUCAUUAUAGUACUAUAGUCUCUCUUAGGGAGGAUUUGUUAUUUUUACAAAAUUAAUUGUAAAUCCAAUAGAAAAUCAUUCAGUCUCUGAAAUUCUGGUGAGAUAAUUAUUGUGAAGAUGGUAUUAGUAUAGAUGAUUCACUGCUUUAAUUAUUAGUUUCCGAUUCUACGCAAACAUCAUUUAAAACCCCUCUAACCUCCUCACGAGCUGGCUACGUUACCCCCUCAAAUUACUACUUAGCUGACUUGCUCAGCUCCUGGCUCAUCUUCUGCAGGUAAAUUGCCCUGGCUGACAGUGGGGCUCACUGAGAAGGCCUAGCCUGCUUGUGGCUGAGCUCAGCAGUUAGCCUUUGCGUGCAGCUGCUCCUUUCCUUAGGUUCAUCCUCACCGAAUACCUUCAGUCGUGAUUUAUCCUGUGUUGUUCUGGCCAGGACAAAAGCUCAUGCUAAAUUUUUAGGACAGUAAACAAAGAGGUCUGCUAUGAAGGCUAACCAAAAUUACUGCUGCAGGCAGGGGCAGGGUUGGAUGGAAACCACUUAGACUAUGAUCCUUCUGCCCCAACCUUGGAAAUGCCAUGCUGGUUUUGGAGCAGUUAAGUGAACUUAACCUGGCCUACUCCACAAGGUAAGUUUCCCUCUGUGGUUUUCCAGACAACUUUGCAACAAACUU